Molecule: ribosomal RNA, 835 nt
Filed under: uncultured bacterium
Lineage: Bacteria
Description: bacterial SSU rRNA
Rfam family: Bacterial small subunit ribosomal RNA
Source: RNAcentral
GAUGAACGCUGGCGGCGUGCCUAACACAUGCAAGUCGAGCGAAGCACUUUGCUUAGAUUCUUCGGAUGAAGAGGAUUGUGACUGAGCGGCGGACGGGUGAGUAACGCGUGGGUAACCUGCCUCAUACAGGGGAUAACAGUUAGAAAUGACUGCUAAUACCGCAUAAGACCACAGCACCGCAUGGUGCGGGGGUAAAAACUCCGGUGGUAUGAGAUGGACCCGCGUCUGAUUAGCUAGUUGGUAAGGUAACGGCUUACCAAGGCGACGAUCAGUAGCCGACCUGAGAGGGUGACCGGCCACAUUGGGACUGAGACACGGCCCAAACUCCUACGGGAGGCAGCAGUGGGGAAUAUUGCACAAUGGGGGAAACCCUGAUGCAGCGACGCCGCGUGAGCGAAGAAGUAUUUCGGUAUGUAAAGCUCUAUCAGCAGGGAAGAAAAUGACGGUACCUGACUAAGAAGCACCGGCUAAAUACGUGCCAGCAGCCGCGGUAAUACGUAUGGUGCAAGCGUUAUCCGGAUUUACUGGGUGUAAAGGGAGCGUAGACGGAUGGGCAAGUCUGAUGUGAAAACCCGGGGCUCAACCCCGGGACUGCAUUGGAAACUGUUCAUCUAGAGUGCUGGAGAGGUAAGUGGAAUUCCUAGUGUAGCGGUGAAAUGCGUAGAUAUUAGGAGGAACACCAGUGGCGAAGGCGGCUUACUGGACAGUAACUGACGUUGAGGCUCGAAAGCGUGGGGAGCAAACAGGAUUAGAUACCCUGGUAGUCCACGCCGUAAACGAUGACUACUAGGUGUCGGGUGGCAAAGCCAUUCGGUGCCGCAGCAAACGCAAUAAG